CCCCCCCCCCAUUCACUUUUAAGUGCAGUGCCAAAUACCAACUAUGCAGCAUGACAUAGCCUCCUCCACAUGAAUGCUGCUGCGAUGCAUGUACAAUUUCUACAAUGUAAUGCAACACCCUCGGAAAUAUACAUUGCAACCUUGUGAUCAAUUUACAAGUAUAUCACAAAAAUUUGCAGUUUAUAAAUAAAUGUGUAUAAAAUGUCUUUAUCUUCGGUCGCUGAACUCAUUUAUCAAUUAAUAUAGUUCAUCUCUCUCUGUUUUUUUUUUAUAUCACAAAAUGUAUGUGAUUAGCCUUUUGCUUAUCUCCUGGCUGAACCUUACUCCAUGUAGUAAUAAUAAUAUAAAGCAUUGCUCACCUGAAUCGUACAUACAGAAUAAAAAUUGUCAAUAAUCUUUUAAGAUGUACUCUCUACUGAUAUAUUCACACAUUUAUAUCACUUGAACACACAUUAGACAAAAAAA
This is a non-coding RNA of Biomphalaria pfeifferi, 465 nucleotides long. Lineage: Eukaryota; Metazoa; Mollusca; Gastropoda; Planorbidae. The record is from the annotation of a GenBank genome assembly.